Acanthosepion pharaonis is the source of this 98-nucleotide non-coding RNA. NCBI's taxonomy places the organism in Eukaryota, Metazoa, Mollusca, Cephalopoda, Sepiida, Sepiidae. The record is from the annotation of a GenBank genome assembly.
GUUGAAACAGAGGUUCCCGUACGAUCACUGAAGUUAAACAAUGUCGUGUCGGGUCAGUACCUAGAUGGGGGACCACUUUGGAAUACCAGGUACUGUAA